RNAcentral lists this ribosomal RNA (478 nucleotides) under uncultured bacterium. RNAcentral's name for it is "partial 16S ribosomal RNA". It matches the Rfam family "Bacterial small subunit ribosomal RNA", at positions 28 to 523 of the family's 1533-position model. The record is from RNAcentral.
GACGAACGCUGGCGGCGUGCUUAACACAUGCAAGUCGAACGGUAAGGCCCUUCGGGGUACACGAGUGGCGAACGGGUGAGUACCACGUGGGUGAUCUGCCCUGCACUUCGGGAUAAGCCUGGGAAACUGGGUCUAAUACCGGAUAGGACCACUGCCUGCAUGGGUGGUGGUGGAAAGCUUUUGCGGUGUGCGAUGGGCCCGCGGCCUAUCAGCUUGUUGGUGGGGUGAUGGCCUACCAAGGCGACGACGGGUAGCCGGCCUGAGAGGGUGACCGGCCACACUGGGACUGAGAUACGGCCCAGACUCCUACGGGAGGCAGCAGUGGGGAAUAUCGCACAAUGGGCGCAAGCCUGAUGCAGCGACGCCGCGUGAGGGAUGACGGCCUUCGGGUUGUAAACCUCUUUCAGCAUCGACGAAGCGAAAGUGACGGUAGGUGCAGAAGAAGGACCGGCCAACUACGUGCCAGCCGCCGCGGUAA